Molecule: long non-coding RNA, 243 nt
Organism: Thalassophryne amazonica
Lineage: Eukaryota; Metazoa; Chordata; Actinopteri; Batrachoidiformes; Batrachoididae
Exons: 3
Source: RefSeq, a predicted model, not a curated record
AUUUAAAUGUCAUUAUUAUCAAAAGUGAAAAUAAGAGAUAAGAUAAUACUUUAUUGUCAGAUCAGAAAUCUGAAAUUUGUCUUACAUAUUCAGUAGCUCCGUUACAACACAAUACAUAAACAACACAAAUAAGACACAGAUAUUUCACAAACAAACAAUCCAUGCAACAAACAUUUGCUCACAUUGCGGCCUUGAUAAUGUUGUUAUGGAUUAAGCUCCUUAUUUAAGUAUCGACUGAUGCAU